RNAcentral lists this long non-coding RNA (872 nucleotides) under Mus musculus (house mouse). RNAcentral describes it as "RIKEN cDNA C030018K13 gene (C030018K13Rik)". Lineage: Eukaryota; Metazoa; Chordata; Mammalia; Rodentia; Muridae. The record is from RNAcentral.
UAGCAACAUAUCUUUGGGGUGCAAGACGGGAGGUCUUGUAGAAAUGCAUACAGGAUACUGGAACACACGAAUUAACAGAAAUUCACCAUCCUCCUCCUCUAUUUUUUUCUAGACUAGAAGACACAUGGAACAGAGCAGAGGUGACCUACGUAAGGUCACACUUCUGGCUGGUGUCCUAAGAUUCAACCGAAUGCAGAGAACUCACUACCAUCAGGUCCCGUGAAGACGUGCUGAAUGCCCUCCACGGCUCUCCAACUUGAGAUGCGUGAGGAUCAUCUUAUGAACGGACAUAGAAUGUACAAGCCCCUCAGCCGACUCGGAGUUUCUGACUCACUGAGAGCCCUGGACUGGGAUAAAAUCACUGUGAACCUCUCAACUUGAAGUGUUCUUAAAAACACCAAAUGUCAUGAACCAAAAGUGGCGUUUUGCGCGUGACUCGAGUCAUCCUGCGCCUCACAUUCUAAGUGAAAGACCGAGCUAGGUGAAUGUUUGUCCUACCACAUUCACUCCAGGCAUUAACGCAUGACAGGAGCGACCUCUCUGUGCUAUUGUGUCUACUAUUACAGGCAUUACCUUCCAAAGCAUGCGGAGCCUGGGGAAUUUAAUACCCCGAGUUCUGCAGCCAAAAGAUGCCUUGAGCUGUCUUGGCUGUAUCCUUAGCUUGGCUUCCUCCAGAUGGUACUGUGCUGAUUCAUUUCCUGGUGUGCACUUUGAGCUGAUUAUUUUAUUCUUUCAAAGAAUGUAAUAAAUUGCAGUUUGCUUGGGGUCGGGUGACAAUCGGGAAAGAAUACUUUAGUUUAUAAUAAGAAGCAUGUGAUUUAGGUUCAUGGAAUGGGCUAAGGAAGUAUUUAUAAAUAAUUACAUGUCUGAGU